RNAcentral lists this ribosomal RNA (208 nucleotides) under uncultured bacterium. Its description in RNAcentral is "partial 16S ribosomal RNA". It matches the Rfam family "Bacterial small subunit ribosomal RNA", at positions 568 to 774 of the family's 1533-position model. The record is from RNAcentral.
CUCGUAGGCGGUUCGUCGCGUCCGGUGUGAAAGUCCAUCGCUUAACGGUGGAUCCGCGCCGGGUACGGGCGGGCUUGAGUGCGGUAGGGGAGACUGGAAUUCCCGGUGUAACGGUGGAGUGUGUAGAUAUCGGGAAGAACACCAAUGGCGAAGGCAGGUCUCUGGGCCGUCACUGACGCUGAGGAGCGAAAGCGUGGGGAGGCGAACA